This 465-nucleotide ribosomal RNA is filed under the name uncultured bacterium. Its description in RNAcentral is "bacterial SSU rRNA". It matches the Rfam family "Bacterial small subunit ribosomal RNA", at positions 338 to 795 of the family's 1533-position model. The record is from RNAcentral.
CCUACGGGAGGCUGCAGUCGCGAAUUUUUCUCAAUGGGCGCAAGCCUGAAGAAGCCAUGCCGCGUGCGGGACGAAGGCCCUCUGGGUUGUAAACCGCUGUCAGGGAAGGGGAAACGCUGGGUGUUAACAGCAUCCAGUUUGACUGCUUUCCAAAGGAAGCCCCGGCAAAACAUGUGCCAGCAGCCGCGGUAAUACAUGUGGGGCGAGCGUUGUUCGGAAUCACUGGGCAUAAAGGGUGCGUAGGCGGUAUGAUACGUCCUGGGUGAAAUCCUGCGGCCCAACCGUGGGUCUGCCUGGGAUACGGUCAAACUGGAGUGCGUGAGGGGUGACUGGAACGCGUGGUGUAGCGGUGAAAUGCGUAGAUAUCACGCGGAAGGCCAACGGCGAAGGCAGGUCACUGGCACGCAACUGACGCUGAGUGCACGAAAGCGUGGGGAGCAAACAGGAUUAGAUACCCUAGUAGUC